UGCAAGUCGACGANGCUUCGGCCUUAGUGGCGCACGGGUGCGUAACGCGUGGGAAUCUGCCCUUUGGUUCGGAAUAACAGCUGGAAACGGCUGCUAAUACCGGAUGAUGACGAAAGUCCAAAGAUUUAUCGCCAGAGGAUGAGCCCGCGUUGGAUUAGGUAGUUGGUGGGGUAAAGGCCUACCAAGCCGACGAUCCAUAGCUGGUCUGAGAGGAUGAUCAGCCACACUGGGACUGAGACACGGCCCAGACUCCUACGGGAGGCAGCAGUGGGGAAUAUUGGACAAUGGGCGAAAGCCUGAUCCAGCAAUGCCGCGUGAGUGAUGAAGGCCCUAGGGUUGUAAAGCUCUUUUACCCGGGAAGAUAAUGACCGUACCGGGAGAAUAAGCCCCGGCUAACUCCGUGCCAGCAGCCGCGGUAAUACGGAGGGGGCUAGCGUUGUUCGGAAUUACUGGGCGUAAAGCGCACGUAGGCGGCUUUGUAAGUCAGAGGUGAAAGCCUGGAGCUCAACUCCAGAACUGCCUUUGAGACUGCAUCGCUUGAAUCCAGGAAAGGUCAGUGGAAUUCCGAGUGUAGAGGUGAAAUUCGUAGAUAUUCGGAAGAACACCAGUGGCGAAGGCGGCUGACUGGACUGGUAUUGACGCUGAGGUGCGAAAGCGUGGGGAGCAAACGGGAUUAGAUACCCUGGUAGUCCACGCCGUAAACGAUGAUAACUAGCUGUCCGGGUACUUGGUGCUUGGGUGGCGCAGCUAACGCAUUAAGUUAUCCGCCUGGGGAGUACGGCCGCAAGGUUAAAACUCAAAGGAAUUGACGGGGGCCUGCACAAGCGGUGGANCAUGUGGUUUAAUUCGAAGCAACGCGCAGAACCUUACCAGCGUUUGACAUGUCCGGACGAUUUCCAGANAUGGAUCUCUUCCCUUCGGGGACUGGNACACNG
This 935-nucleotide ribosomal RNA is filed under the name uncultured bacterium. Its description in RNAcentral is "bacterial SSU rRNA". It matches the Rfam family "Bacterial small subunit ribosomal RNA", at positions 56 to 1037 of the family's 1533-position model. The record is from RNAcentral.